AUUACAUCUAGAUCACUUUGCAGUUGCUCUGGCAGAACAUGACUAUUACACCAAUGCUGAAAAAUGCACCAUUAUGUGCGAUUACUGAACAACAGCCAUCCAUGCUAUAUUAAAUUGCAUUCAGAAUCAUUUAAGCCAUCUCUACUGAAAGAAAUACAGCUUGUUCAGGCCAAGCUGAUCCAGAACAUCUUUGCUAGCUGGUAACUGCUGAUAAAAAGGAAACAGCUUGUGAAUGACCGCUAUUAAUGCUUCAUCAUAGGUAAAAUAAUUACUGAAGACAGUACAACAGUACAGCAAUUAGAAACUCAAACUUUUAUUGAUCAAUAUACUAAGUAUAAUAUAUUAGUUCAUAAUUAAUAUUUGAGAUUAGGGUAGUCUCAUAUGAAUAUUUUUUUGAGAUGAGCUCUCAGAAGCAGCGUCGUCGUCGUCACCCGCCAUUAUCAUCAUCAUCAUCUUCUUCCUAGGCUGUACACUUGAGCUGUCGAUCCAAAUCUCACUAGCCAAUGAGAGUAAAUCGGUGUUAAGCCCCGCCCACACAAGGGUUUGUGCCAGAAUAGCGAACGUAAACUUGCUGAGCGUAAACAAAAUCUCUAGAAGCGCAUUCAUAAACCGUGAUUAACCAAAACGAAGCUUAGAAAACUGUUAACAAAAAAUGAUAUUUAUUUGAAGUCCAUGUAAAUUUUUUUGCCACCGAGUUCACUGUUUUCAGUUUCAGAGUGUUUUUCUUCUCUCGUUGUAUAUUUUUGUUCGUUUCUUGAAAAGCUGCGGUCAAUACUCAUGGCGCAAAUUUCAUUCCAUGUGAACUUAAGAGUCUCUGAAACGUUCAGCACAGUAGAAAGUACUGGGUGAACAAUGUUUCUUUCAAGAUCUCGGAAACUUGCAAUUUUAAGCUUAUAGGUUAAAGCUAAGGUCUAAUGCUAAGCUUUAGACUAAACUUAAGGCUUAAUUCUCAGCCGUGGCCUCAGCGUAUCUUUUUAUUUUGUGAAACUCCAUGAAAACUGUCUGUGAACAGUUUAAAUUUUUUUUUAAGCUGUAACCUCAACAGCUACUGCUUGUGAAACAAAACGCAGGCUAUGUUUAUAUCGGUCACCUGCUGUGGUGUGUGUCGCCAGCUGUUACUUAAGACUGUGUGUGCUGCGACAACCUGUG
Long non-coding RNA from Ictalurus punctatus (channel catfish), 1149 nucleotides. Lineage: Eukaryota; Metazoa; Chordata; Actinopteri; Siluriformes; Ictaluridae. The record is from Ensembl.